GACGAACGCUGGCGGCGUGCUUAACACAUGCAAGUCGUACGGUAAGGCCCUUUCGGGGGUACACGAGUGGCGAACGGGUGAGUAACACGUGAGUAACCUGCCCACAACUUUGGGAUAACGCUAGGAAACUGGUGCUAAUACUGGAUAUGUGCUCCUGCUGCAUGGUGGGGGUUGGAAAGCUCCGGCGGUUGUGGAUGGACUCGCGGCCUAUCAGCUUGUUGGUGGGGUAGAGGCCUACCAAGGCGGCGGCGGGUAGCCGGCCUGAGAGGGUGACCGGCCACAUUGGGACUGAGAUACGGCCCAGACUCCUACGGGAGGCAGCAGUGGGGAAUAUUGCACAAUGGGCGCAAGCCUGAUGCAGCAACGCCGCGUGCGGGAUGACGGCCUUCGGGUUGUAAACCGCUUUCAGCAGGGACGAAGCUUUUUGUGACGGUACCUGCAGAAGAAGCACCGGCUAACUACGUG
RNAcentral lists this ribosomal RNA (465 nucleotides) under uncultured bacterium. RNAcentral describes it as "partial 16S ribosomal RNA". It matches the Rfam family "Bacterial small subunit ribosomal RNA", at positions 28 to 507 of the family's 1533-position model. The record is from RNAcentral.